RNAcentral lists this ribosomal RNA (448 nucleotides) under uncultured organism. Its description in RNAcentral is "partial 16S ribosomal RNA". It matches the Rfam family "Bacterial small subunit ribosomal RNA", at positions 335 to 799 of the family's 1533-position model. The record is from RNAcentral.
AAUCCUGCGGGAGGCAGCAGUGGGGAAUAUUGGACAAUGGGCGCAAGCCUGAUCCAGCCAUGCCGCGUGAGUGAUGAAGGCCCUAGGGUUGUAAAGCUCUUUCACCGGUGAAGAUAAUGACGGUAACCGGAGAAGAAGCCCCGGCUAACUUCGUGCCAGCAGCCGCGGUAAUACGAAGGGGGCUAGCGUUGUUCGGAUUUACUGGGCGUAAAGCGCACGUAGGCGGACUAUUAAGUCAGGGGUGAAAUCCCGGGGCUCAACCCCGGAACUGCCUUUGAUACUGGUAGUCUUGAGUUCGAGAGAGGUGAGUGGAAUUCCGAGUGUAGAGGUGAAAUUCGUAGAUAUUCGGAGGAACACCAGUGGCGAAGGCGGCUCACUGGCUCGAUACUGACGCUGAGGUGCGAAAGCGUGGGGAGCAAACAGGAGGAGAAACCCCGGUAGUCCCAUG